This 956-nucleotide long non-coding RNA is filed under the name Capra hircus (goat). RNAcentral's name for it is "lncRNA (ENSCHIG00000006821.1)". The record is from RNAcentral. Lineage: Eukaryota; Metazoa; Chordata; Mammalia; Artiodactyla; Bovidae.
GAGAUUGUUGGGCAGAAUUUCAAGUCCCCGUCUCAGGCUUACUGGAUCAGAAUCCGCUUUUUAAUAAGAUGCCCAGGUCAUUCUUGUUCAUAUUUAGCAUUUGAGAUAUCAAUAGAUCUAGUAAUUGUCAAUCUAGCACCAAUCAGAGCCCAAAACAGAGAUCCAGCCCUUUGUACACGCCUCUCACCCGAUCCACUCUGUAGCAACCGAAUCCCCGGAGACAUCGGAACGGGUGCUGCCGAGGGCAGCUUGGUGAUUGGCUAUGUCGACCACGUGACCGGCGCUGGCCCUCCCGUGCUAGUGGAUUGGCUCUCGCGUACGCUGACGGACAGAGCCGGGGCGGGCCAAAGCCAGGUCGGAGGGGCGCGCGCGGUGGCGCGGAGGGGCGAGAACGCGAAUGCGCGUGCGCGAGCGGCGGGGCUCUUUCCCCGAGCCGUCGGAGGGAGCGGGAGCGCUUCUCCCGAGUUGGUGAUCGAUUGGUUGUGAUCCACCAUGCAGAAGUGAGUGAUGAAAGGCAACAGAGCUGAUGGGUCAUGAGGAUGUAAGUGCAUUUGAAGGCUCUCACACCCUCUACUCCAGGGUAAGUCAAAGGCAUUCUUUGCCAUUGUUGUUCUGGUUUUACUCUUGUCUUAACAGCCUUUUGGCGUCAGUGCAGUGGGGUGCCCUGUCUGUGAAAGCUUCCCAAAGCCUUUAGUAAUUCAGGUCAUAAACACUGUUAAGAUCAGCACUUACAAAGCUAAAACCAUGAUCAAGGUGAUGGGAUAGAAUCUACAUGGCAAUAUCUCAACAUAAGAAUUUUUUAGUGAGUUUGUAUGGGGUUUGAUUUACGUAGAGGGUGAGGGUGUUGCUGGGCCCUUCUGAGAAGGGAACUAGGCCUGAGUGCUGUUUUCCUGUAGCCAUAUCAUAUUGUUAUCUCUGCUGACACAAAUUCCCCUCUCUCAGCACUCUACUCUUCC